GGAAAUAAUGACUUUUUUCAUAAUUUCUAUUCAGUAACUGAUAUAAUAUAUUUAGUUAGGACAUCAAACUGCAGCCUAAAUUUUUGUAAUUAAUCUAGUUUGUGGCGACAGUGAUUUCUGAGACUAAAUAUAUAAAGGCAACAGCAAAAUACCGCUGUUCAAAAGUCGAAAAUCUACUGGAUUAAAACAAAACCGGCUUACAAACUAAAACCGACGGAAACACAUCAACUAUAAAAGUGAAACGAAGGAACAAUAUUUGAUAGCAACUGCAAUAUUCCUUACUUGUUACAGGACAUUUUACGAAAAAACAUUGGUGGGAUGAACCUGGUUUAUGGCUAACCAAACCUGUAGCUAUAUGGAAGCGUUACAAAUAUCGCUGAAGUAACAACAACACGUGACAGAAAUACAGCACAAACACAGUUAAAGCACUCAUCAUAGAAAAACUCUCAAAUAGAUCAUACAGUCACAGAACUCUAUAUAUAUAUAUGUAUAAGUAAGUCCGAACCAGUGACAACUUUACAGAAGAUUUAUCCAUCGAUUCACCAGCAGUGAUGAUGAUACAAGGCUGAUAUAUAUAGCAAAAGUAAAUUAAUACGGUGUACAGAAGAAAUAUAUUAACAUUCAAAAUUCGCAGCCUACAUUUCACAUCAACUAAUAACAGUUCGUUAAGAUAUUGUCAUUAGCGCUUCCAUGCCUUCUGGCAAUCUUCAGGGGACGAUUUAACAAUGUCCUUGACGAGACAUCUUUUUAUUGUAGGCAAUCUUUUGUUGAUGUCUGCGAUUUGUGGUGACAAUUAGAACCAAAUAUAUGUGCUUACGGAUUCGCAAUAUCGUAUAAUUUGAUAUCUUGUAACAUGUACUUUUAUUAUUAUAAAACAAGUCAUAUCAUAAUAUAUAUGUCGUAAAAGACAAUAACUCAGGAACAAAGUACUUGGAAAAUCAUGAAAGUACUAUUGAAAUAUCUAUUUGACAAUAUAUGAUACUUUUUAUCCCAAAUCAAGAACUAAAUUAAAAUAGAAUAAUGACUAUACUACUGAUUAGUGUCUUGUUACCUAGUUCACGUGCUCGGGGGAGGGGGAUACAAUUCUUUUUCAUGCCCCACCUACGAUAGAAGAGGAGC
Molecule: long non-coding RNA, 1119 nt
Filed under: Mytilus galloprovincialis (Mediterranean mussel)
Lineage: Eukaryota; Metazoa; Mollusca; Bivalvia; Mytilida; Mytilidae
Source: RNAcentral